This 866-nucleotide long non-coding RNA is filed under the name Elaeis guineensis (African oil palm). RNAcentral's name for it is "long non-coding RNA (EGUI_LNC020773)". Lineage: Eukaryota; Viridiplantae; Streptophyta; Magnoliopsida; Arecales; Arecaceae. The record is from RNAcentral.
GUCUCAAAAUAUUCAAAAUACUUGUUAUAGUGUAGAGAGGACAUCUUUAGUCUCACAUUGAUUAUGAGUCAAGAGAAAGUAUGGCUUAUAUGAAUUGAAACCUCCUCUCCUCCGUGAGAUACCUUUUAAAGGGCAAAACCGUGAGACUCCAAAUGACCAAAGUCCACUAAAGCCUAAGGCCCACUGAAAUCCAAAAAUGGUCAUAAGCCAAAGCGGACAAUACUUCACGAACACGGGAGUGAAGUUAACCUAACCAUCCGAGCCAUCCAACCCCUUAACCGCAAUAUUGGUGCUGUCUGUGGGAAUGCCUCCUGCUCACACAUAUUCCCUCUUGACUGAGGGGUUAUGUUGUGGUGUAAAGAGAACAUCUUUAAUUCCAUAUUAGUUAUGAGUCAAGAGAGAGCAUGACUUAUAUAGAUUGAAACUUUUUCUCCCGUAUGAGGUACCUUUUAAAAGAUAAAAUCAUGAAGCUCCAAAUGACCAAGGCCCACUAUAAAGCCCAAAAAUGGUCAUGAGCUAAAGCGGACAAUACCUUACGUGUGCGGGAAUGAAGUUAACCCAACCAUCCAAGCCAUCUGACCCUUUGACUGUAACAUUAUAGUAGAAGAUGGUGUGAGAGCCAGAAAGGGAGAUAGAGGAACUCCCCACCGAUCUCUCCGAUGUGCAGACUUUCCUUGCAGAUAUCCAGAGAUCUCCAUUCAGUGUCCUUUUACUCCAGCCUAGCGGCCACCCUGUGGUGCCACCCACACCACAUCACCCCGAUCGGAGAGGAGCAACAACAAUACUAAUGUACUUUCUUUCAAUUAUGCGACUCUACAAGUGUGAUAGUGAUAACCAGCCAACUCCAUAUAAAGUCAGAUAUGAAU